GUCGAUGGCAACAGAAGCAGUGAAGGUGCUGUGAUAAAUGGACAAAGCUUUGGUGCUUGUGAAUUUGAAAAUCCUCAAUGUUUGGCAAAUCAUGAUUCGGGAUCAAAAGAACUACCUGGGUGUGGAGUAGGGAAUGCAGUUUCAAAUGAUAUUUCUUCAGGCAAGAAGAAAGGAGGAAGUCGUAAAGAGACAUGGGCCUGAUGAACAGAUCAAUCGGUGUCAACAUCCUCAUCCCAUCCGUGCCUGGGGGUUGGUGCAUACUGUGAUCAAUAAGUGUAUU
This 280-nucleotide unclassified non-coding RNA is filed under the name Hevea brasiliensis (rubber tree). The record is from RNAcentral. Lineage: Eukaryota; Viridiplantae; Streptophyta; Magnoliopsida; Malpighiales; Euphorbiaceae.